UAGGGUUGCAGUUCCCUUUAGCUCCUUGG
Molecule: non-coding RNA, 29 nt
Filed under: Mus musculus (house mouse)
Lineage: Eukaryota; Metazoa; Chordata; Mammalia; Rodentia; Muridae
Source: RNAcentral